This 66-nucleotide small nuclear RNA is filed under the name Cervus elaphus hippelaphus. It matches the Rfam family "U4 spliceosomal RNA", at positions 1 to 66 of the family's 138-position model. Rfam says of the family: U4 small nuclear RNA (U4 snRNA) is a component of the major U2-dependent spliceosome. The structure of U4 snRNA from yeast and human has been reported. U4 snRNA presents a k-turn RNA motif in the 5p-SL related to recognition of Snu13 protein. Lineage: Eukaryota; Metazoa; Chordata; Mammalia; Artiodactyla; Cervidae. The record is from RNAcentral.
AGCUUUGCUCAGUGGCAGUAUCGUAGCCAAUGAGGUUUAUCUGAGGCACGAUUAUUGCUAAUUGGA